Molecule: long non-coding RNA, 1089 nt
Filed under: Volvox carteri
Lineage: Eukaryota; Viridiplantae; Chlorophyta; Chlorophyceae; Chlamydomonadales; Volvocaceae
Description: long non-coding RNA (VCAR_LNC001207)
Source: RNAcentral
GGCGCAUGUAACCAAUUACACGCGAAAUUACGGGUGAAGACCCAGUGAUUACGGGUGGAUUUUACGCGGUGCUGGAGGUGAAUUACGGGCACAUGUAACCAAUUACACACAAAAUUACGGGUGAAGACCCAGUGAUUACGGUUGAAUAUUACGCGGUGCUGCAGGUGAAUUACGGGCGCAUGUAACCAAUUACAUGCGAAAUUACGGGUGAAGACCCAGAGAUUACGGGUGGAUUUUACGUGGUGCUGGAGGUGAAUUACGGGCGCAUGUAACCAAUUACAUGCAAAAUUACGGGUGAAGACCCAGUGAUUACGGGUGGAUUUUACGCGGUGCUGGAGGUGAAUUACGGGCACAUGUAACCAAUUACACGCAAAAUUACGGGUGAAGACCCAGUGAUUACGGGUGGAUUUUACGCGGUGCUGGAGGUGAAUUACGGGCGCAUGUAACCAAUUACACGCGAAAUUACGGGUGAAGACCCAGUGAUUACGGUUGAAUAUUACGCGGUGCUGGAGGUGAAUUACGGGUGCAUGUAACCAAUUACACGCAAAAUUACGGGUGAAGACCCAGAGAUUACGGGUUACACGGGCAGAUAUUACUCUGUGAUGUGAUGCUUACUGCGUGUUAAAUUAACGAUUGGUGAAUAGUGCGGCAAGCCUCAAGAUGGACGCGAACCCCUUGUCAAAGUAGCCUAAGUCUAAGUAUGCUUGUGGACCAAGGCGCUUUGGACUCACAACGCCAACCAGCCAGCCUGACAGCCUGAUGCAUUCAUCCAAACCAUCAUCCUCGAAAACAGCGUUCAUGUCACCCCCCAUACAGCAAGUGCUCUCCAAGAAGUCUCACCACCACUUGCAGAGUUCGUGCCUACUGCUUACUCCUAUGGAUGAAACCCCCGAUGUAUGACAUGUACCGGCACCUAUUGGGAUUGGUCUGUCCCAUCCUGCCUGGGGCCGACCUGGUGUGUGCACCCCCAAGCGCUCAUCACUGCUGCCAUGUUACUGCUCACUUCCACCACUGCCACUGCUGCCACUGCCACUGUUGCUGCUGCUAGCUUCGCUAUAUUUGCCUGUGUCCUCCGAGCUGGACUCCUCC